Molecule: long non-coding RNA, 997 nt
Organism: Coregonus clupeaformis (lake whitefish)
Lineage: Eukaryota; Metazoa; Chordata; Actinopteri; Salmoniformes; Salmonidae
Exons: 4
Source: RefSeq, a predicted model, not a curated record
UCACCUCCCGCGUUUCAGGAGAGUCUGCCUCCCUCCCGCGAUGCUCUUAUAGUUGUGUGCCCACCGUUCUCUCCCGUCUCUCACCUAAUUGGGUAAUUGAUUGAACGGAGAAAGGAGACUCUAAUGCAAUAAAGUAGACGUUUUCAUCAGAUGAGUUGCAAUAAGGAGGAUUAUCCUGCGACAUCAGACCGUGGAGCUACAGCAGCGAAGAGAGGAGGGGAGGGAAUACUCUGUUUCAGGUGAUUGAGUCGCGACAGAUGUGCACGACGACUGCUUCCCGAAGCGCCUGACACCGAAAAAGCACCAGUCAAAAGGUGGAUUAUUUUAUAGAGAAUUGACCACUCCUGCUUGUCAAUUCUACCUGGCGGAGUGUUUCAAGAAUCAUGAAUAUGUCACCCCCAGACCGGAGGAAAAAUAUACGAGAGCUGGCAUUAGAGAUUGGCAUUCGUGUUCUUCUUUUCGGAGUUUUUGUGUGCCAGCCCACAUAGAGAAAGUUCUGGAGGAGGUGACCCGCUUCACCCCUCGGUACAUGGAGGAGAUGGAGUCUUAUCUUUGACCAAUCACAGCAGGAGGAGAGGAAGAGAAUUAGCAAAGAGCCGCAAUGGAUGUCACCAACAAUGAAAGGUUAUAUCAGCUGUGUCGGUGAACCCCUUCCGCAUCUGAACUGGCUACAAAGAGGGUAUGUUUUGAUGUGAGAGAGGAUGCCAACCCCCAGUCCCGUCAUCGCCACCUCACCCGCUCUUAAUAUAACCUUCAGGCCAACUGGGGGCCCAAGGCUGGUUAGGAGACACCGCUAGAGACACUAUUAUGUAAUUGUGAUAACCUGAGAGAAUAUAAAGUUAAGCAGCACUGUAAUUCAUUAAUCAUAUGCUGUCUUCCCUGCUCCUCUGUUCUUACCUCUUUCCAUAUAUGUCUUUUACACUCUUUCUCAUACCUCUCUACCCACCUCCUCUUUCUUCCUCUGUUUUUAUAAUGCACAUCAGAUGUGCAAUGAAGU